UGCAAGUCGAGCGGGGAAGUAUAGCUUGCUAUACGACCUAGCGGCGGACGGGUGAGUAAUGCUUAGGAAUCUGCCUAUUAGUGGGGGACAACAUUCCGAAAGGAAUGCUAAUACCGCAUACGCCCUACGGGGGAAAGCAGGGGAUCUUCGGACCUUGCGCUAAUAGAUGAGCCUAAGUCAGAUUAGCUAGUUGGUGGGGUAAAGGCCUACCAAGGCGACGAUCUGUAGCGGGUCUGAGAGGAUGAUCCGCCACACUGGGACUGAGACACGGCCCAGACUCCUACGGGAGGCAGCAGUGGGGAAUAUUGGACAAUGGGCGAAAGCCUGAUCCAGCCAUGCCGCGUGUGUGAAGAAGGCCUUUUGGUUGUAAAGCACUUUAAGCGAGGAGGAGGCUACCGAGAUUAAUACUCUUGGAUAGUGGACGUUACUCGCAGAAUAAGCACCGGCUAACUCUGUGCCAGCAGCCGCGGUAAUACAGAGGGUGCGAGCGUUAAUCGGAUUUACUGGGCGUAAAGCGUGCGUAGGCGGCUUUUUAAGUCGGAUGUGAAAUCCCUGAGCUUAACUUAGGAAUUGCAUUCGAUACUGGGAAGCUAGAGUAUGGGAGAGGAUGGUAGAAUUCCAGGUGUAGCGGUGAAAUGCGUAGAGAUCUGGAGGAAUACCGAUGGCGAAGGCAGCCAUCUGGCCUAAUACUGACGCUGAGGUACGAAAGCAUGGGGAGCAAACAGGAUUAGAUACCCUGGUAGUCCAUGCCGUAAACGAUGUCUACUAGCCGUUGGGGCCUUUGAGGCUUUAGUGGCGCAGCUAACGCGAUAAGUAGACCGCCUGGGGAGUACGGUCGCAAGACUAAAACUCAAAUGAAUUGACGGGGGCCCGCACAAGCGGUGGA
Molecule: ribosomal RNA, 886 nt
Filed under: Acinetobacter sp. 11.5.051CS5
Lineage: Bacteria; Pseudomonadati; Pseudomonadota; Gammaproteobacteria; Moraxellales; Moraxellaceae
Description: bacterial SSU rRNA
Rfam family: Bacterial small subunit ribosomal RNA
Source: RNAcentral